RNAcentral lists this ribosomal RNA (405 nucleotides) under bacterium. Its description in RNAcentral is "partial 16S ribosomal RNA". It matches the Rfam family "Bacterial small subunit ribosomal RNA", at positions 355 to 776 of the family's 1533-position model. The record is from RNAcentral.
UAAGGAAUAUUGCGCAAUGGGGGAAACCCUGACGCAGCAACGCCGCGUGGAGGAUGACACUUUUCGGAGCGUAAACUCCUUUUAUCAGGAAAGAAUAAUGACGGUACCUGAUGAAUAAGCACCGGCUAACUCCGUGCCAGCAGCCGCGGUAAUACGGGGGGUGCAAGCGUUACUCGGAAUCACUGGGCGUAAAUGACGCGUAGGCGGAUUAUCAAGUCUUUUGUGAAAUCUAGUGGCUUAACCACUAAACUGCUUAGGAAACUGAUAGUCUAGAGUAGGGGAGAGGUAGAUGGAAUUCUUGGUGUAGGGGUAAAAUCCGUAGAGAUCAAGAAGAAUACCCAUUGCGAAAGCGAUCUGCUGGAACCUAACUGACGCUGAGGCGUGAAAGCGUGGGUAGCAAACAGG